UCUGGGUAAGCCUGCAAGAGAAGUUGCAGCUUUACAACUUCUAGAUUUGUUUGGUAACCCACAUUUCUCUAUAAAAAUGUGUUUGACUUUAUCAUGUCUUUAGUAGUUGAUAGAGUACAGAUUGACAAACUGAAGAUUUCAUUAGGCGUUGAUGAUGAUUGUUAUCCAGACUGGAAUCAUGACCUCCUUGUGGCAUGAAGGAGAUGAUGAGUGAGACAUUCGAGGUUUUGUAGAAGCGAAUGGCAGCUGAAGGUUAAGAGCCAUCGAGAAUAGGAAUGUUUUUUUAUUCAUGUGUAGCUAGCUAAGAAUGCUCUUGUUUGGUGCAUUAUCUUGUUACUUGAAUGUAUUGAUGCUUGAAUAAUGGUACUUGAAUGAUAUAUA
Molecule: long non-coding RNA, 381 nt
Organism: Rosa chinensis
Lineage: Eukaryota; Viridiplantae; Streptophyta; Magnoliopsida; Rosales; Rosaceae
Exons: 2
Source: RefSeq, a predicted model, not a curated record